Molecule: ribosomal RNA, 460 nt
Filed under: uncultured bacterium
Lineage: Bacteria
Description: partial 16S ribosomal RNA
Rfam family: Bacterial small subunit ribosomal RNA
Source: RNAcentral
CCUACGGGAGGCAGCAGUGAGGAAUAUUGGUCAAUGGACGAGAGUCUGAACCAGCCAAGUCGCGUGAAGGACGACGGCCCUACGGGUUGUAAACCUCUUUUAUCGGGGAAUAAAAUGCUUCACGUGUGGCGUCUUGUGUGUACCCUAUGAAAAAGCAUCGGCUAACUCCGUGCCAGCAGCCGCGGUAAUACGGAGGAUGCGAGCGUUAUCCGGAUUUAUUGGGUUUAAAGGGAGCGUAGGCGGGGAGUGAAGUCAGAUGUGAAAGUUUGCGGCUCAACCGCGUAACUGCUGUUGAAACUGUAUGACUUGAUUGCAGGAGAGGUAAGCGGAAUUCGUGGUGUAGCGGUGAAAUGCGUAGAUAUCACGAAGAACUCCGGUGGCGAAGGCAGCUCACUGGACUGCAAAUGACGCUGAGGCUCGAAAGCGUGGGUAGCAAACAGGAUUAGAUACCCUGGUAGUC